Molecule: ribosomal RNA, 497 nt
Filed under: uncultured bacterium
Lineage: Bacteria
Description: partial 16S ribosomal RNA
Rfam family: Bacterial small subunit ribosomal RNA
Source: RNAcentral
GAUGAACGCUGGCGGCGUGCCUAAUACAUGCCGGUCGAGCGAACGGACGAGAAGCUUGCUUCUCUGAUGUUAGCGGCGGACGGGUGAGUAACACGUGGAUAACCUACCUAUAAGACUGGGAUAACUUCGGGAAACCGGAGCUAAUACCGGAUAAUAUUUUGAACCGCAUGGUUCAAAAGUGAAAGACGGUCUUGCUGUCACUUAUAGAUGGAUCCGCGCUGCAUUAGCUAGUUGGUAAGGUAACGGCUUACCAAGGCAACGAUGCAUAGCCGACCUGAGAGGGUGAUCGGCCACACUGGAACUGAGACACGGUCCAGACUCCUACGGGAGGCAGCAGUAGGGAAUCUUCCGCAAUGGGCGAAAGCCUGACGGAGCAACGCCGCGUGAGUGAUGAAGGUCUUCGGAUCGUAAAACUCUGUUAUUAGGGAAGAACAUAUGUGUAAGUAACUGUGCACAUCUUGGCGGUACCUAAUCAGAAAGCCACGGCUAACUACGUG